GCUGUGGAGAGCAAAAACAAAUACAAGUAGAUAUUUUAUCAAAAGUAUGUUCGUUGAAUCAGCAA
This 65-nucleotide non-coding RNA is filed under the name unclassified sequences. The record is from Rfam.